ACCCACAUAACCACGGUACAG
RNAcentral lists this unclassified non-coding RNA (21 nucleotides) under Mus musculus (house mouse). RNAcentral describes it as "oocyte_clustered_small_RNA10873". Lineage: Eukaryota; Metazoa; Chordata; Mammalia; Rodentia; Muridae. The record is from RNAcentral.